CAGCCGCCGCGGUAACACGGAGGAUCCGAGCGUUAUCCGGAAUUAUUGGGUUUAAAGGGUGCGUAGGCGGAUAGAUAAGUCAGUGGUGAAAGACGGUGGCUCAACCAUCGCAGUGCCGUUGAUACUGUUUAUCUUGAAUAUGGUUGAGGUAGGCGGAAUGUGGCAAGUAGCGGUGAAAUGCAUAGAUAUGCCACAGAACACCGAUUGCGAAGGCAGCUUACCAAGGCAAAAUUGACGCUGAGGCACGAAAGCGUGGGGAUCGAACAGGAUUAGAUACCCCCGUAGUCCCUGUCUCUUAUAC
RNAcentral lists this ribosomal RNA (301 nucleotides) under uncultured bacterium. RNAcentral describes it as "partial 16S ribosomal RNA". It matches the Rfam family "Bacterial small subunit ribosomal RNA", at positions 509 to 807 of the family's 1533-position model. The record is from RNAcentral.